CCAUCCUCAUCCUCACCUUCCCUUUUAGCCAUUUACCAGAUCCUAGUUUCUGUUGCAGGAUGUUUUCUGCCGAUAGAUUGGUACCUCGAACUAUUAGUUAUUUGCUAGUUGCAUUUUCAAUCAUGCUCAGGUUGCAGUGAAAAUCACAGUCAAUCUGUUCAAAUAUUGAAAAUGUGACCUGAAUUUUUUUUGGGAAAACAUCUGAAUUGAAUUAACUUGCUGUUAUGCCUGAGAUGUCUCUGCUGUGGUUACAUAUAAAUAAUUGUGAUUUGACAUAAAAGAGUGAUGCUUUCUGGAGUCUACUAUUAAGACAAAUAGCAAUCACAUUUCUUUAGCGAGGAAAUAUCAGGUGCACAAGAGUAUAAUAGUGAACUGCACAUACUCAAAUUCAUACCUCGGAUCUGAUCUUUGUGGCCCAAUGGGCGUUGGAAUUCGCUCACCCAUCUUUGUCUUCUGAAUUAAAGGCUAUAGGAAUUAGUCACAAAUGCGUAUAUAUUUACCAAUAUACUCUUGUGUACCUGAUACUUGUAUUUAGCACUAUCAGGUACUGUCCACAUACACUGUCUUGCACUCUUGUGACAUUCCUUAAUAGGCAGUUGGAGAAACAGGGUAAAGAUGGUUUUGAUAGCCUUAUCGGCUGCAAAUACAAUUGUUUGGAUAUAACCGCAUAAGGAUCUGUCUUCCACACGUCCAUGAUUCUCAAAAAGAAGCUAUGCCAAUAAACAAUAAUUGAAUCAAUAGAUCAGUUAAUAUGAUUAAUUUAAUAUGACAGUAUUCCACAGUUGGUACUUAUGAAGUCAGCCGCAUCUAAUCUUUGUUAGUGACAUAUUAAUUCUAACUUUUUUAUUUCCCAGUGGCACAGAAUGCUUCUUCGCAUGAUUUCCUGGAUAGUUAUCUACAAUUCAGGCACAGGUAGUAUGAUUUGCCACACCGGAGCCCUAAGGGGGCAGUAGCAGGUUUGGUUGUUGGGGAGCUUGAGCUUUGCCAUCGUGUCUUUAUGGUCCUCUACCGCAUAUCCUCAAACAAGGAUCCUGGAGCAGGUCGUGUUGAGUCCCUUAGUAUGAAGGAACAUACAGGAAACAGAGCAGGGGAGGAUCAAGAGAGGAGAUGAACAAGAAGCAAGUUGAGCUCAAUGCAAAACUUGAUGCUAGAUUAAAACUUAAUCUGUUGUUUGAUGUGUGAUGUGAUGUGAUGCUGGAAAACUUGAGAUGUAUGAUGUAUCAGCAUUCUAAUUUUGAAAUUGAUUCUGUGGGCUGUUUUUUUAUAUAGCUUGUGUAUAAAGCUGAAUCUGGUUUGUUGGUAAUUAAUGUUGAGUU
This is a long non-coding RNA of Panicum virgatum (switchgrass), 1316 nucleotides long. RefSeq lists it as uncharacterized. The transcript has 3 exons. The record is from RefSeq and is a predicted model, not a curated record. NCBI's taxonomy places the organism in Eukaryota, Viridiplantae, Streptophyta, Magnoliopsida, Poales, Poaceae.